RNAcentral lists this non-coding RNA (987 nucleotides) under Trichomonas vaginalis G3. Its description in RNAcentral is "Eukaryotic large subunit ribosomal RNA". It matches the Rfam family "Eukaryotic large subunit ribosomal RNA", at positions 2228 to 3367 of the family's 3401-position model. Lineage: Eukaryota; Parabasalia; Trichomonadida; Trichomonadidae. The record is from Rfam by way of RNAcentral.
CAAGCCAACGAAGCACCGGUAAAUAAGCUGGGGUAACUAUGACUCUUAUCAAAGUAGCGAAAUACCUCGUCACUUAAUUAGUGACCUGCAUGAACGGAGCUAUGAGGUUCUCACUGUCCCAAACUGUCUCUCAGCGAACCAACUGUAGUGGGAACGGUCACUAGAUAUCCAGCGGGGAAAGAAGACCCUGUAGAGCUUCACUUUGGUCUAGUCUUGUAUAGUUCCUGCGGGGGUGUAGACUAGGUGGGAGAGCAAUCGAUUCUGAAAAACCACUACCCUGUUUGGAAUUAUGCUUACCUAUCACAAGGAAUAGGACUAGAUAGAAAGUUUGGCUGGGGCGGCACACCUUCGAAAGAGCAGCGAAGGUGUCCUAAGUUGAGCUCAGUGAGGACAGAAAUCUCACGUUGAGGAUAAGGCCAAAAGCUCAAUUUACUGUGCCUUUUUGUACUAGGAUCAGUUACGAAAGUAAGGCCUAACGAUCCCUAAAUAGCCUCAGGUGCGUGAGGAUUGGGGUGACAGACAAGUUACCUCCGGGACAACUGGCUUGUGGCUGCUAAGAGAUCAAAUCAACGCAGCUUUUUGAUUCUUCGAUGUCGGCUCUUCCUAUCCUAGUGAUGUACAAGUUGCUAAGGGUCGGAUUGUUCACCCGUAUUAGGGAUCGUGAGCUGGGUUUAGACCGUCGUGAGCCAGGUUUGUUUUAUCCUACUGGAUAUAGCAUCAUGAUAGUAGAUUGAUUUAGUACGAGAGGAACUGUUGAUUAUGGCCUCUGGUUAGCGAUUAUCGGAAACGGUAUGUCGCGCAGCUACGCCGUCUGGGAUAAUGGCUGAAAGCCUCUUAAGCCAGAAGCCCAUCUAGAAAGUGAUGCACGUGAUGUUGGACCGAUACGAAUAAUCAUACUCAAAAGGUCCGCUUCAUAGGUAACCCAAUGUAGAAGACAUUGUGUGAACGAAGGUACUGUUAGCAGUGGAGUGGCAUUACGUCCACGAC